AUUGAACGCUGGCGGCAUGCUUUACACAUGCAAGUCGAACGGCAGCGCGGGCUUCGGCCUGGCGGCGAGUGGCGAACGGGUGAGUAAUGCAUCGGAACGUGCCCAGUAGUGGGGGAUAGCCCGGCGAAAGCCGGAUUAAUACCGCAUACGACCUGAGGGUGAAAGCGGGGGACCGAAAGGCCUCGCGCUAUUGGAGCGGCCGCUGUCGGAUUAGCUAGUUGGUGGGGUAAAGGCUUACCAAGGCGACGAUCCGUAGCUGGUCUGAGAGGACGACCAGCCACACUGGGACUGAGACACGGCCCAGACUCCUACGGGAGGCAGCAGUGGGGAAUUUUGGACAAUGGGGGCAACCCUGAUCCAGCCAUGCCGCGUGCGGGAAGAAGGCCUUCGGGUUGUAAACCGCUUUUGUUCGGGAAGAAAUCCUCUGGGCUAAUACCCCGGGGGGAUGACGGUACCGGAAGAAUAAGCACCGGCUAACUACGUG
This 484-nucleotide ribosomal RNA is filed under the name uncultured bacterium. RNAcentral describes it as "partial 16S ribosomal RNA". It matches the Rfam family "Bacterial small subunit ribosomal RNA", at positions 28 to 507 of the family's 1533-position model. The record is from RNAcentral.